RNAcentral lists this transfer RNA (66 nucleotides) under Eurytrema pancreaticum. RNAcentral describes it as "tRNA-Ser". Lineage: Eukaryota; Metazoa; Platyhelminthes; Trematoda; Plagiorchiida; Dicrocoeliidae. The record is from RNAcentral.
AGUUGAGGGUGUUGCCCCGAGAGUAAUUUGAAGUUAUUCCUUUCAUUUAGGUUAGUGUGACGUCUG